This 472-nucleotide ribosomal RNA is filed under the name uncultured bacterium. RNAcentral describes it as "bacterial SSU rRNA". It matches the Rfam family "Bacterial small subunit ribosomal RNA", at positions 355 to 825 of the family's 1533-position model. The record is from RNAcentral.
UGGGGAAUAUUGGACAAUGGGCGAAAGCCUGAUCCAGCCAUGCCGCGUGUGUGAAGAAGGUCUUCGGAUUGUAAAGCACUUUAAGUUGGGAGGAAGGGCAGUUACCUAAUACGUGAUUGUUUUGACGUUACCGACAGAAUAAGCACCGGCUAACUCUGUGCCAGCAGCCGCGGUAAUACAGAGGGUGCAAGCGUUAAUCGGAAUUACUGGGCGUAAAGCGCGCGUAGGUGGUUAGUUAAGUUGGAUGUGAAAUCCCCGGGCUCAACCUGGGAACUGCAUUCAAAACUGACUGACUAGAGUAUGGUAGAGGGUGGUGGAACUUCCUGUGUAGCGGUGAAAUGCGUAGAUAUAGGAAGGAACACCAGUGGCGAAGGCGACCACCUGGACUGAUACUGACACUGAGGUGCGAAAGCGUGGGGAGCAAACAGGAUUAGAUACCCGUGUAGUCCCUGAGCGGGCUGGCAAGGCGCAU